GCUCUCUCUGGUCAGAACCAUCUUUGUUACAUGACUUUAUGCCACGGGUGAGCAGUGAACAGCAUACUACAGAUAAAGGAGUUACAUCUUGAAACAAGAGGCUACAGAGACUCACGACCCACGUGGUCCCUUUCAAUAAUAUACUCAUGAUGAAUAAGUGAGCCUUUCACUAGACAUGUUCCUUCUGAGGACUGAGCCUCCAGCACACAGACUCAGGAACCUUAGUCCGGUUCUGGCAGCUGACCCAAGCAAAGGAUGUUAAUGCCCACUGGAUGCACACACAUUCUUGUGUCACACAGCUGCCGCUUGCUCACUGUGGGUAAAUGCCAAAUGCAUCUGGAAGAAGAGUUUUGAAAACAAUUCGACAGCCUGAAAGGUUCCAACAAUAAAACAGAACUCUUUACAUGGCAAAGCCAAACAAAUAACUCAGAUUGAACAAGAACUGGACCAAAAGAAAACGGAUGCAACAUUUUUAACUUUACGACUUGGAGGAUCUGGUUACAACUCCAGCCACCUGCAGCACGGAGGGAAAGACACCUGGCACUUUGCCAGGAAGCACUCUGCCCUGUGGAUGUGCUAACAAGAUUCCUAGGCUGUUUUCAUCCCUUUGUGCUCUGCCCUUUUCUGACUUACUAUUUUUCUCCAAAAGGCUUGUAGCUUUAAUAAAAAUGGUGUUAGUGAAUGAAAGCA
RNAcentral lists this long non-coding RNA (690 nucleotides) under Mus spicilegus (steppe mouse). Its description in RNAcentral is "lncRNA (ENSMSIG00000001594.1)". The record is from RNAcentral. Lineage: Eukaryota; Metazoa; Chordata; Mammalia; Rodentia; Muridae.